Molecule: transfer RNA, 75 nt
Filed under: Clostridia bacterium
Lineage: Bacteria; Bacillati; Bacillota; Clostridia
Description: tRNA-Arg
Rfam family: tRNA
About the family: Transfer RNA (tRNA) molecules are approximately 80 nucleotides in length. Their secondary structure includes four short double-helical elements and three loops (D, anti-codon, and T loops).
Source: RNAcentral
GCGUUCUUAGUCUAAUGGAUAAAACAACACCCUCCGACGGUGUAGUUAUGCGUUCGAGUCGCAUAGGGCGCACCA